This 434-nucleotide ribosomal RNA is filed under the name uncultured Clostridium sp. RNAcentral's name for it is "partial 16S ribosomal RNA". It matches the Rfam family "Bacterial small subunit ribosomal RNA", at positions 341 to 792 of the family's 1533-position model. Lineage: Bacteria; Bacillati; Bacillota; Clostridia; Eubacteriales; Clostridiaceae. The record is from RNAcentral.
ACGGGAGGCAGCAGUGGGGAAUAUUGGACAAUGGGGGAAACCCUGAUCCAGCGACGCCGCGUGAGUGAAGAAGUAUUUCGGUAUGUAAAGCUCUAUCAGCAGGGAAGAUAAUGACGGUACCUGACUAAGAAGCCCCGGCUAACUACGUGCCAGCAGCCGCGGUAAUACGUAGGGGGCAAGCGUUAUCCGGAUUUACUGGGUGUAAAGGGAGCGUAGACGGCUGUGCAAGUCUGAAGUGAAAUCCGCGGGCUCAACCCGUGAACUGCUUUGGAAACUGCAUAGCUAGAGUGCAGGAGGGGUAAGUGGAAUUCCUAGUGUAGCGGUGAAAUGCGUAGAUAUUAGGAGGAACACCAGUGGCGAAGGCGGCUUACUGGACCGUAACUGACGUUGAGGCUCGAAAGCGUGGGGAGCAAACAGGAUUAGAUACCCUGGUA